GCCAGCGUGGCAUAGUAGGUUGAGUGUUGGACUAUGACUCUGGAGACCCGGGUUUGAGCCCCUGCUUGGCC
This is a non-coding RNA of Phrynosoma platyrhinos (Desert horned lizard), 71 nucleotides long. The record is from the annotation of a GenBank genome assembly. NCBI's taxonomy places the organism in Eukaryota, Metazoa, Chordata, Lepidosauria, Squamata, Phrynosomatidae.